UUUAAAACAAACUGCAGAUGUUUUGUUUUGGUGACUGUCAUCUGUCAUCACACGCUUCUUCCUUGUUGUCAAACAAACACCUGAAGCUGUGAGUCAGACUGAACGUGAAGCCGCUCGCGCCGCCUAGUGGAGCGGAUGAAGAACUGCACUUCUUUUUCUGCGAUCGGUCCUCUACGUCUUUUAUUUCACUGGCGGGAUUUGUGAGUUCCCCAGACACUUCCUCCAGAUCCUCCAUGGGCCAAGGCGUUCCCAGGCAAGCCUGAGAGACAUAGUGCCUCCAGUGAGUCCUGGGUCUUCCCUGAGACCCUCCCAGUAAGACAAGCCUCGAACACAUCCCUCGGAGAAAGGGGACUACCACAGAAAAGCAGGCGAGACCAAGAGAGCCGUUGAAGACAACUAUCCACCGUUGACUCCAGCCGGUGAGUGACUGGAUGAGGUGAGGUUUUAUGGUGUGUUGGUGAUUGGGAGUGCAGGUGCCGGCUGUUAGUAAUCUGGUGAUGGUUCACGUGUGGGUGGUGACUGGUGAUUGGCUGAAGUGAUUUGGAAUGCGGGAACGAGCUGAGGGUGUGACAAGUGGUACCUUCAUGGAUCAGAUUUGUACCUUUGGUGAGAGUACAAUAUUGUGUCUGCGGGUUUUAAAAACCAAAGGUAAAUUUUGGUUUGCCAUAAUACAAAUCAUGUCCUUAAAGGUACAAACUGCAGAGGUACAAAUUAGUUUAUUUGUCUUAAGGUACAAUUCUGUCCAUAAACAUGUACUGCCCCAGUGACAAGGGUUUGUACCUUCCUUGGUACAACACUGUACCUUUUUUUUCCCUGAGAGUGUACAAUC
Molecule: long non-coding RNA, 829 nt
Organism: Danio aesculapii
Lineage: Eukaryota; Metazoa; Chordata; Actinopteri; Cypriniformes; Danionidae
Exons: 3
Source: RefSeq, a predicted model, not a curated record